This is a small nucleolar RNA of Hermetia illucens (black soldier fly), 104 nucleotides long. RefSeq annotates it as small nucleolar RNA Me28S-Am2589. Lineage: Eukaryota; Metazoa; Arthropoda; Insecta; Diptera; Stratiomyidae. The record is from RefSeq and is a predicted model, not a curated record. The transcript has a single exon.
CAAAUUAUGAUGAAAAUAUGUCACUGACGAUUGAUCAGACCUAUUUUUGGUUUGGUUUAUCUGUAAGGAUGUUCGCAUUAGCGAGGCAUUUGUCUGAUUCACAA